Molecule: long non-coding RNA, 279 nt
Organism: Drosophila pseudoobscura
Lineage: Eukaryota; Metazoa; Arthropoda; Insecta; Diptera; Drosophilidae
Exons: 2
Source: RefSeq, a predicted model, not a curated record
UUAAAUGAAAGGUACACAGUUUUCCCUACAACAACUACAAAAAAAAAAAAAAAAUAAAAAAAAUGUCCGGAAUGUAAAAAACGAAAAGAGGACUCUAUAUAUGAGACCAGCCAUCGUGUGUGUGUGUGUGUGUGUGGGAAUUCCAACUAUGAUUAAUGGAAGGACGAAGAACUUCGAUGCCAUCGUGAUAUGAGACACAUUUGAGAAUAACAAAUGUAAUUUCUCUGCGUCAAGUUUCGGAUUGGAAUCUUGGUUGAGGGACUGGACUGCCAAAAAAAA